RNAcentral lists this ribosomal RNA (402 nucleotides) under Platyhelminthes sp. MM01324. RNAcentral's name for it is "SSU rRNA". It matches the Rfam family "Eukaryotic small subunit ribosomal RNA", at positions 592 to 998 of the family's 1831-position model. The record is from RNAcentral. Lineage: Eukaryota; Metazoa; Platyhelminthes.
CAAUAGCGUAUAUUAAAGUUGUUGCAGUUAAAAAGCUCGUAGUUGAACCUUGGGUCUGGCUGGCCGGUCCGCCUCACCGCGAGUACUGGUCCGGCUGGACCUUUCCUUCUGGGGAACCUCAUGGCCUUCACCGGCUGCCUGAGAUGCUCGACACGUUUACUUUGAACAAAUUAGAGUGCUCAAAGCAAGCCUAGUGCUUGAAUAUUCGAUGCAUGGAAUAAUGGAAUAGGACUUCGUUUCUAUUUUGUUGGUUUUCGGUCACGAAGUAAUGAUUAAAAGAGACGGACGAGGGCAUCUGUAUGGCGGUGUUAGAGGUGAAAUUCGAUGAUCGCCGCCAGACAGCCAACAGCGAAAGCAUUUGCCAAGGAUGUUUUCAUUAAUCAAGAACGAAAGUCAGAGGUU